UAGGGAAUCUUCCACAAUGGGCGAAAGCCUGAUGGAGCAACGCCGCGUGUGUGAUGAAGGGUUUCGGCUCGUAAAACACUGUUGUAAGAGAAGAAUGACAUUGAGAGUAACUGUUCAAGUAUUGACGGUAUUUAACCAGAAAGCCACGGCUAACUACGUGCCAG
RNAcentral lists this ribosomal RNA (164 nucleotides) under uncultured bacterium. RNAcentral's name for it is "partial 16S ribosomal RNA". It matches the Rfam family "Bacterial small subunit ribosomal RNA", at positions 355 to 511 of the family's 1533-position model. The record is from RNAcentral.